This 424-nucleotide ribosomal RNA is filed under the name uncultured prokaryote. Its description in RNAcentral is "partial 16S ribosomal RNA". The record is from RNAcentral.
CCCUACGGGGUGCUGGACAUGGCAGGCAAUGUCUGGGAAUGGGUGCGGGAUUGGUAUGGAGCCUAUGACCAAAACGAAACCAUCAAUCCUUUCGGACCAAAUGAUGGUGAAUACCGUGUGUUGCGUGGCGGCAGUUGGAACAACCUUUCCAGUAUCAUUCGUUCCACAUACCGGAACCAUGGCUAUCCCACGAACACGAGCUAUCGCGUGGGUUUUCGCUGUGUAUUCCCGCCGUAGGCGUUCUGUGUUCUGUUUUCUAAAUUCUAAAAUUCGGGGGGUCAAGGAUGUGGACUCCCGUGUUUUCCAGCACUGCGAGAUCCUUUCUCACCUCUCUCUUGCUUAUAAGGUGACAUUGGUUGGUAAAGGGGUCGUGGUAGUUUGCUAGUGAAAAUUACAACUUAUUGAAAUGAAUUGGCGGGGGGGC